This 690-nucleotide ribosomal RNA is filed under the name uncultured organism. RNAcentral's name for it is "bacterial SSU rRNA". It matches the Rfam family "Bacterial small subunit ribosomal RNA", at positions 621 to 1326 of the family's 1533-position model. The record is from RNAcentral.
GGCCGGACAAUACUGUCAAGCUAGAGGGCAUCAGAGGGGAGUGGAAUUCCCGGAGUAGCGGUAAAAUGCGCAGAUAUCGGGAGGAACACCAAUGGCGAAGGCAGCUCCCUGGGAUGUACCUGACACUGAGGGGCGAAAGCUAGGGGAGCGAACAGGAUUAGAGACCCUGGUAGUCCUAGCUGUAAACGCUGGGUGCUAGGUGUGGGGCGUAGAAGUUCCGUGCCGGAGCAAACGCGAUAAGCAUCCCGCCUGGGAAUUACGGUCGCAAGGCUAAAACUCAAACGAAUUGACGGGGCCCCGCACAAGCAGCGGAGCGUGUGGUUCAAUUCGAUGCUACACGAAGAACCUUACCUGGGUUUGACAUGUACGUGGUACGGCGGCGAAAGCCAAAGGACCCUUCGGGGAGCGUACACAGGUGCUGCAUGGCUGUCGUCAGCUCGUGCCGUGAGGUGUCGGGUUAAGUCCCGUAACGAGCGCAACCCUUGCCCUUAGCUACAAGUGUCUAGGGGGACUGCCGGCGGGAAGCCGGAGGAAGGUGGGGAUGACGUCAAGUCAGCAUGGCCCAUAUGUCCAGGGCUACACACACGCUACAAUGGUCAGUACAAAGGGUAGCGAGGUCGCGAGGCGGAGCGAAUCUCAGCAAAGCUGAUCGUAGUUCGGAUUGCAGGCUGCAACCCGCCUGCAUGAAGC